This 374-nucleotide ribosomal RNA is filed under the name uncultured organism. RNAcentral describes it as "partial 16S ribosomal RNA". It matches the Rfam family "Bacterial small subunit ribosomal RNA", at positions 527 to 896 of the family's 1533-position model. The record is from RNAcentral.
GUAGGUGGCAAGCGUUGUCCGGAAUUAUUGGGCGUAAAGCGCGCGCAGGCGGUCCUUUAAGUCUGAUGUGGAAGCCCACGGCUCAACCGUGGAGGGUCAUUGGAAACUGGGGGACUUGAGUACAGAAGAGGAAAGCGGAAUUCCAAGUGUAGCGGUGAAAUGCGUAGAGAUUUGGAGGAACACCAGUGGCGAAGGCGGCUUUCUGGUCUGUAACUGACGCUGAGGCGCGAAAGCGUGGGGAGCAAACAGGAUUAGAUACCCUGGUAGUCCACGCCGUAAACGAUGAGUGCUAAGUGUUAGGGGGUUUCCCGCCCCCUUAGUGCUGCAGCUAACGCAUUAAGCACCCCGCCUGGGGGAGUACGGCCGCAAGGCUG